GAUGAAGAACGCAGCGAAAUGCGAUAAGUAAUGUGAAUUGCAGAAUUCAGUGAAUCAUCGAAUCUUUGAACGCACAUUGCGCCCGCCAGUAUUCUGGCGGGCAUGCCUGUCCGUGCGUCAUUUCAACCCUCGAACCCCUCCGGGGGGUCGGCGUUGGGGACCUCGGGAGCCCCUAAGACGGGAUCCCGGCCCCGAAAUACAGUGGCGGUCUCGCCGCAGCCUCUCCUGCGCAGUAGUUUGCACAACUCGCACCGGGAGCGCGGCGCGUCCACGUCCGUAAAACACCCAACUUCUGAAAUGUUGACCUCGGAUCAGGUAGGAAUACCCGCUGAACUUAAGCAUAUCAAUAAGCGGAGGA
RNAcentral lists this unclassified non-coding RNA (358 nucleotides) under soil metagenome. RNAcentral describes it as "partial contains 5.8S ribosomal RNA, internal transcribed spacer 2, and large subunit ribosomal RNA". The stretch from base 1 to 120 matches the Rfam family "5.8S ribosomal RNA", at positions 35 to 154 of the family's 154-position model. The record is from RNAcentral.